UACGGGAGGCAGCAGUGGGGAAUAUUGCACAAUGGGCGCAAGCCUGAUGCAGCCAUGCCGCGUGUAUGAAGAAGGCCUUCGGGUUGUAAAGUACUUUCAGUCGUGAGGAAGGUGUUAAGGUUAAUAACCUUAGCAAUUGACGUUAGCGACAGAAGAAGCACCGGCUAACUCCGCGCCAGCAGCCGCGGUAAUACGGAGGGUGCGAGCGUUAAUCGGAAUUACUGGGCGUAAAGGGCACGCAGGCGGUUAAUUAAGUUGGAUGUGAAAUCCCCGGGCUUAACCUGGGAAUGGCAUUCAAGACUGGUUAGCUAGAGUCUUGUAGAGGGGGUAGAAUUCCAUGUGUAGCGGUGAAAUGCGUAGAGAUGUGGAGGAAUACCGGUGGCGAAGGCGGCCCCUGGACAAAGACUGACGCUCAUGUGCGAAAGCGUGGGGAGCAAACAGGGAUUAGA
This 449-nucleotide ribosomal RNA is filed under the name uncultured bacterium. Its description in RNAcentral is "bacterial SSU rRNA". It matches the Rfam family "Bacterial small subunit ribosomal RNA", at positions 340 to 782 of the family's 1533-position model. The record is from RNAcentral.